RNAcentral lists this unclassified non-coding RNA (225 nucleotides) under plant metagenome. Its description in RNAcentral is "partial contains small subunit ribosomal RNA, internal transcribed spacer 1, and 5.8S ribosomal RNA". The record is from RNAcentral.
UCUCCGUUGGUGAACCAGCGGAGGGAUCAUUACAGGACUCGCAAGAUUCCUACAACCCUGUGAACUUAACUAUAAGCGCGUUGCUUCGGCGGGUGUCUCGGAGGGGGUUCUCCCUCCCCGAGACGCUAAACCCGCCGGCAGCCUACUAUACUCUGUCUCUUUGCGUUGGCAUCUCGAGUACAAUCAAACAAGUUAAAACUUUCAACAACGGAUCUCUUGGUUCUG